GUAGGAGGCGAGCGUUAUCCGGAUUCACUGGGCGUAAAGCGCGUGCAGGCGGUUUGGUAAGUUGGGCGUGAAAGCUCCCGGCUCAACUGGGAGAGGUCGUUCAAUACUACCGAACUAGAGAGUAGAAGAGGAAGAUGGAAUUCCCGGUGUAGUGGUGAAAUGCGUAGAUAUCGGGAGGAACACCAGUGGCGAAGGCGAUCUUCUGGUCUAUUUCUGACGCUCAGACGCGACAGCUAGGGUAGUAAACGGGAUUAGAGACCCCGGUAAUCCUAGCCGUAAACGAUGUGAACUUGGCGUCGGUGGCUUAAACACCAUCGGUGCCGAAGCAAACGCGAUAAGUUCACCGCCUGGGGACUACGGCCGCAAGGUUAAA
This 373-nucleotide ribosomal RNA is filed under the name uncultured bacterium. RNAcentral describes it as "bacterial SSU rRNA". It matches the Rfam family "Bacterial small subunit ribosomal RNA", at positions 527 to 898 of the family's 1533-position model. The record is from RNAcentral.